GAUGAAGAACGUAGCGAAAUGCGAUAAGUAAUGUGAAUUGCAGAAUUCAGUGAAUCAUCGAAUCUUUGAACGCACCUUGCGCUCCUUGGUAUUCCGAGGAGCAUGCCUGUUUGAGUGUCAUGAAAUUCUCAACCUUUUCAGCCUUCUUUGUUGAUCAGGCUUGGAUGUGGGAGUAUGCGGGCUUCUCAGAAGUCGGCUCUCCUGAAAUGCAUUAGCGGGACCUUUGUUGCCUGGCUUUGGUGUGAUAAUUAUCUACGCCAUUGUAGUCAAGCAGCUUAAAAUGAGGUUUCAGCUUCUAACCGUCUCCCCUGAGACAACUUUUUGACAAUUUGACCUCAAAUCAGGUAGGACUACCCGCUGAACUUAAGCAUAUCAAUAAGCGGAGGA
Molecule: unclassified non-coding RNA, 387 nt
Filed under: soil metagenome
Description: partial contains 5.8S ribosomal RNA, internal transcribed spacer 2, and large subunit ribosomal RNA
Rfam family: 5.8S ribosomal RNA (bases 1-120)
Source: RNAcentral